UACGUAGGUGGCAAGCGUUGUCCGGAUUUACUGGGUGUAAAGGGCGUGCAGCCGGGCUGACAAGUCAGAUGUGAAAUCCCGCGGCUCAACCGCGGAACUGCAUUUGAAACUGUCAGUCUUGAGUACCGGAGAGGUCAUCGGAAUUCCUUGUGUAGCGGUGAAAUGCGUAGAUAUCGAGAGGAACACUCGUGGCGAAGGCGGGUUCCUGGACAUUAACUGACGCUGAGGCACGAAGGCCAGGGGAGCGAAAGGG
RNAcentral lists this ribosomal RNA (253 nucleotides) under uncultured Oscillospira sp. RNAcentral describes it as "partial 16S ribosomal RNA". It matches the Rfam family "Bacterial small subunit ribosomal RNA", at positions 524 to 776 of the family's 1533-position model. Lineage: Bacteria; Bacillati; Bacillota; Clostridia; Eubacteriales; Oscillospiraceae. The record is from RNAcentral.